GAUGAACGCUGGCGGCGUGCCUAAUACAUGCAAGUCGAGCGAACAGAUGAGGAGCUUGCUCCUCUGACGUUAGCGGCGGACGGGUGGGUAACACGUGGAUAACCUACCUAUAAUACUGGGAUAACUUCGGGAAACCGGAGCUAAUACCGGAUCAUAUAUUGAACCGCAUGGUUCAAUAGUGAAAGACGGUUUUGCUGUCACUUAUAGAUGGAUCCGCGCCGCAUUAGCUAGUUGGUAAGGUAACGGCUUACCAAGGCAACGAUGCGUAGCCGACCUGAGAGGGUGAUCGGCCACACUGGAACUGAGACACGGUCCAGACUCCUACGGGAGGCAGCAGUAGGGAAUCUUCCGCAAUGGGCGAAAGCCUGACGGAGCAACGCCGCGUGAGUGAUGAAGGUCUUCGGAUCGUAAAACUCUGUUAUUAGGGAAGAACAAAUGUGUAAGUAACUAUGCACGUCUUGACGGUACCUAAUCAGAAAGCCACGGCUAACUACGUG
This 497-nucleotide ribosomal RNA is filed under the name uncultured bacterium. RNAcentral's name for it is "partial 16S ribosomal RNA". It matches the Rfam family "Bacterial small subunit ribosomal RNA", at positions 28 to 507 of the family's 1533-position model. The record is from RNAcentral.